UACGGGGGGAGCAAGCGUUGUUCGGAUUUACUGGGCGUAAAGGGCGCGUAGGCGGUCAGCACAAGUCAGUUGUGAAAUCUCCGGGCUUAACUCGGAAAGGUCAACUGAUACUGUGCGACUAGAGUGCGGAAGGGGCAACUGGAAUUCUCGGUGUAGCGGUGAAAUGUGUAGAGAUCGGGAGGAACACCGGUGGCGAAGGCGGUCUUCUGGACGGUGACUGACGCUGAGGCGCGAAAGCGUGGGGAGCAAACGGG
Molecule: ribosomal RNA, 254 nt
Filed under: uncultured bacterium
Lineage: Bacteria
Description: partial 16S ribosomal RNA
Rfam family: Bacterial small subunit ribosomal RNA
Source: RNAcentral